RNAcentral lists this ribosomal RNA (492 nucleotides) under uncultured bacterium. RNAcentral describes it as "partial 16S ribosomal RNA". It matches the Rfam family "Bacterial small subunit ribosomal RNA", at positions 29 to 507 of the family's 1533-position model. The record is from RNAcentral.
AGUGAACGCUGGCGGUAGGCCUAACACAUGCAAGUCGAACGGCAGCACAGUAAGAGCUUGCUCUUACGGGUGGCGAGUGGCGGACGGGUGAGGAAUACAUCGGAAUCUACUUUUUCGUGGGGGAUAACGCAGGGAAACUUACGCUAAUACCGCAUACGACCUACGGGUGAAAGCAGGGGAUCUUCGGUCCUUGCGCGAUUGAAUGAGCCGAUGUCGGAUUAGCUAGUUGGCGGGGUAAAGGCCCACCAAGGCGACGAUCCGUAGCUGGUCUGAGAGGAUGAUCAGCCACACUGGAACUGAGACACGGUCCAGACUCCUACGGGAGGCAGCAGUGGGGAAUAUUGGACAAUGGGCGCAAGCCUGAUCCAGCCAUACCGCGUGGGUGAAGAAGGCCUUCGGGUUGUAAAGCCCUUUUGUUGGGAAAGAAAAGCAGCAGGUUAAUACCCCGCUGUUCUGACGGUACCCAAAGAAUAAGCACCGGCUAACUUCGUG